CAGUCGCCGCGGUAAUACGUAGGGUGCAAGCGUUAAUCGGAAUUACUGGGCGUAAAGCGUGCGCAGGCGGUUAUAUAAGACAGAUGUGAAAUCCCCGGGCUCAACCUGGGAACUGCAUUUGUGACUGUAUAGCUAGAGUACGGCAGAGGGGGAUGGAAUUCCGCGUGUAGCAGUGAAAUGCGUAGAUAUGCGGAGGAACACCGAUGGCGAAGGCAAUCCCCUGGGCCUGUACUGACGCUCAUGCACGAAAGCGUGGGGAGCAAACAGGAUUAGAGACCCGCGUAGUCCCUGUCUCUUAUAC
This 301-nucleotide ribosomal RNA is filed under the name uncultured bacterium. Its description in RNAcentral is "partial 16S ribosomal RNA". It matches the Rfam family "Bacterial small subunit ribosomal RNA", at positions 509 to 807 of the family's 1533-position model. The record is from RNAcentral.